RNAcentral lists this long non-coding RNA (332 nucleotides) under Brassica napus (rape). RNAcentral describes it as "long non-coding RNA (BNAP_LNC020024)". The record is from RNAcentral. Lineage: Eukaryota; Viridiplantae; Streptophyta; Magnoliopsida; Brassicales; Brassicaceae.
AUUGCCGAUAGUGAAGGAGGAACCUAACGUCACCGGGGCCCGAGUUAGUUAUAUAUAUUAUAUUGUGUUUUGGGUUGUUAAACUCUAAUUUAUUUCGAAGUUGAGUUUGGUGGUGAGCUAGCAUAAUGCUAGUUAUCUUACUAUCUUUUUUCCGGCUGCGUAUUUCUGAUAUUGCUUAUUAUUAUUCGUUGAAUUGGGUUGAAUUGUUGUUAGGUGAACCUCUCGCUUUAGAUUGUUUUGGGUGGGAUAGCGAGGGGUUGUAUUUGUUAGUUGGGGAUUAUAACUCGCUGAGUAAUGCUAGAUUACUCACUCCUCACUCGUUAUUGUUUCAG